RNAcentral lists this unclassified non-coding RNA (248 nucleotides) under Chytridiomycota sp. Its description in RNAcentral is "partial contains small subunit ribosomal RNA, internal transcribed spacer 1, and 5.8S ribosomal RNA". The stretch from base 1 to 47 matches the Rfam family "Eukaryotic small subunit ribosomal RNA", at positions 1785 to 1831 of the family's 1831-position model. Lineage: Eukaryota; Fungi; Chytridiomycota. The record is from RNAcentral.
AAAGUCGUAACAAGGUAUCCGUAGGUGAACCUGCGGAUGGAUCAUUAGUGAAUGUGCGGCGAGGGCGUAAGCCUGAGCCUGCUAAUCCACCCUUGUGCAAUGUACCGUACCCUGGUGGGCGGCUCUCCGGCCUAGCUGGAUAGCUUCCCACCAAAGGGCUUUCGAGCCCGACCAACGCUUUAAUCUUUGUCUGAACUUAAAGAACCAAAUGAUCUAAACAACUUUUGACAACGGAUCUCUUGGCUCUC